GCUGCUCUGUGUUUAGCUGCCUUUUUUUCAGCUCCUCUGGACUUUAUUCAAGACAUCUUCCAGCUGGAUGUUCUCUGUGGUCCAGUCCGUGCUAGUGGCUGCUCUGCAGAGGAGGUGAGUGGGAGUGUGCAGUACUGCAGUGUGAGGAGGAUGCUCUCUGAUUGCCUGGCAGAAGAAAAUAACCCUAUUUGGCUGCAGCCUCCCUUCAGGCUGAGGAGACUUAGUGAAGAGAGGUUGCACAUCGCUUUCAGCCAAAAUCACUGACAGAGAUCCUGGUGGUACAAUGCCUUUAGUGUGUCAGCAUCAGUGUUCGGCUAUGCUCUAAGAGGCAGGUUGCUUGGUCUUGCAGCCCUCAGUGAUUUGCAGAAAGGAUUUCAACUCCCUUCGUUUGCAGUUGGUGCCUGUGUAACUGCAGUUAAGUUCUUCAGCCAGGUGACAGGAGCAGCCAAAGCGUGUUCCCUUUUCCCCCUUCCCCCCCUGAAAGAACUAAGACUGCAUGGGUGAUGAGCACAAAAGCAAAUGUGUGCUUGUGGAAAGGUUGGACCAGAUGAUCCUCAGGGGUCCUGUCCAAUCUGGUGUUCUGAGUGUCUGUUUUAUGAACCUCCUUAAGUGUUGUCUUGAAUGAGCUUUUGGCCAUUGCCUAACAAAGGCAUGCCGGUGAGGUGUUGCCUCAAAGAAGUUAUCAGACUCAUGAACAGCUGCAGCACAGAGUUUUUGUCCUUCAAAAAAAAAUGAGGGGGGGAAAUGACAUAAAAAUAAACAAAAAAAAUCAAGAAAUGAAUGU
Pogoniulus pusillus (Red-fronted tinkerbird) is the source of this 784-nucleotide long non-coding RNA. RefSeq lists it as uncharacterized. NCBI's taxonomy places the organism in Eukaryota, Metazoa, Chordata, Aves, Piciformes, Lybiidae. The transcript is spliced from 4 exons. The record is from RefSeq and is a predicted model, not a curated record.